AGUGAACGCUGGCGGUAGGCCUAACACAUGCAAGUCGAACGGCAGCACAGUAAGAGCUUGCUCUUACGGGUGGCGAGUGGCGGACGGGUGAGGAAUACAUCGGAAUCUACUUUUUCGUGGGGGAUAACUUAGGGAAACUUACGCUAAUACCGCAUACGACCUACGGGUGAAAGCAGGGGAUCUUCGGACCUUGCGCGAUUGAAUGAGCCGAUGUCGGAUUAGCUAGUUGGCGGGGUAAAGGCCCACCAAGGCGACGAUCCGUAGCUGGUCUGAGAGGAUGAUCAGCCACACUGGAACUGAGACACGGUCCAGACUCCUACGGGAGGCAGCAGUGGGGAAUAUUGGACAAUGGGCGCAAGCCUGAUCCAGCCAUACUGCGUGGGUGAAGAAGGCCUUCGGGUUGUAAAGCCCUUUUGUUGGGAAAGAAAAGCAGCAGGUUAAUACCCCGCUGUUCUGACGGUACCCAAAGAAUAAGCACCGGCUAACUUCGUG
RNAcentral lists this ribosomal RNA (492 nucleotides) under uncultured bacterium. Its description in RNAcentral is "partial 16S ribosomal RNA". It matches the Rfam family "Bacterial small subunit ribosomal RNA", at positions 29 to 507 of the family's 1533-position model. The record is from RNAcentral.